AAAUUGUAUCUCCACUACCUUUUAAAUAAAAGUAAUAAUAUUUCUCCAUGUCUAGUUUAUGUAUCAUAUCACAGGGCAUUGUUCUAAUGAAGGAAUGCACAAGUUUCUUGUAUAUCAAAGGAAAAAAGUUUUGAUGAUUAAAGUUCUGUUUAGUUGAGUCUGGGAUUCUGCUGGAGAUGAGUGUUUGAUUGUAUCUCAAGCAAGUCAUUCUUUUUGUCUUGCACUUGACUGUUUUAAAGCCAAGGUGUUUAACUACUUGAGCAGCCAAAUUUUAGCUUUCUCUCAUUGUUUCUAAUUUGACCAUCACACAUCCAGUUUCAUUUCUGAGCUAUUUUCUGAACUAUGUACUUGCUUUUUAAUGUUAGUGAGUGCACUAUUCCAUCCCUGGGGUGUCUUCAUGACCUCACUCUUAAAAGUUGACUAACGACUUGGUCACUGAGACUGGUGGUAUGAGUUGAUUGAAUGUUGAUCCAUUCCUGAAAUGCUGUGACUUGUGAGAUGGUACAAAAAGAUUGGGAGAAUAGAUUUUUUAAUUGAUCCUCUGAUGGAUUGUAGCCUUGAUUGAUCUCACCCCUUUUUAGGUUGAAAGGAACUAGUUGAUAUAGAGGUUUUAUAGACUGACAGGGAAUGGUUGAACCAUUCUUUGUUUUCUAUCGAGAGACUGAAACAUUACUGUUAUGGAGCUCUCUUCCUAUCAAAUAGACAUGAUGCUGAUGUAUUUUACGUGCAUGGAUAUUUUGGUUUUUCCAUCUUUGUUUCAUACCGUGUUCACUUAAUUUAAUGACACCUUUUGUUACAAGGAUGAGUAUGAUCUACGAAAUAUGUGUGGAGCUUUUCUAACACAAGUCCAAUGCUCCAGUAGUAACUGAGCAGAGUAGGGAGCUGAGAAGAGAGAGAAUCAACGGCCACAUCAUCCUGUUCGCCCAAUUCCAUCACAGCUCUGGUGCAAGAACUUUGGGACUAAAGAUUACAAUGACGUGCAGUAACUUUUGGAGCUUCAGUUGUAACUUUCAGCAUGGCAAAGCGCCUGUUGUAUCUUUUGAUUGCAGGUUUCAGUUAAUUGAGAAUGUUCUGGUAAUACUAGAAUAAGAUUUAAAUCGUACAACUUAAGGAGGGGGUUUGAUCAUACUGUUAAUAAAUUGCCCUGUCCUGUUUUCUGCCAUCAAGAAAAUGUUCAGACUGAUGUUUGAAAUUGCAAUUUUGAUGCUAUCUUUUUCCUUU
Molecule: long non-coding RNA, 1221 nt
Organism: Populus euphratica (Euphrates poplar)
Lineage: Eukaryota; Viridiplantae; Streptophyta; Magnoliopsida; Malpighiales; Salicaceae
Exons: 2
Source: RefSeq, a predicted model, not a curated record